RNAcentral lists this ribosomal RNA (465 nucleotides) under Vreelandella stevensii. Its description in RNAcentral is "partial 16S ribosomal RNA". It matches the Rfam family "Bacterial small subunit ribosomal RNA", at positions 338 to 795 of the family's 1533-position model. Lineage: Bacteria; Pseudomonadati; Pseudomonadota; Gammaproteobacteria; Oceanospirillales; Halomonadaceae. The record is from RNAcentral.
CCUACGGGUGGUAGCAGUGGGGAAUAUUGGACAAUGGGGGGAACCCUGAUCCAGCCAUGCCGCGUGUGUGAAGAAGGCCCUCGGGUUGUAAAGCACUUUCAGUGAGGAAGAACGCCUGGUGGUUAAUACCCAUCAGGAAAGACAUCACUCACAGAAGAAGCACCGGCUAACUCCGUGCCAGCAGCCGCGGUAAUACGGAGGGUGCGAGCGUUAAUCGGAAUUACUGGGCGUAAAGCGCGCGUAGGUGGCUUGAUAAGCCGGUUGUGAAAGCCCCGGGCUCAACCUGGGAACGGCAUCCGGAACUGUCAAGCUAGAGUGCAGGAGAGGAAGGUAGAAUUCCCGGUGUAGCGGUGAAAUGCGUAGAGAUCGGGAGGAAUACCAGUGGCGAAGGCGGCCUUCUGGACUGACACUGACACUGAGGUGCGAAAGCGUGGGUAGCAAACAGGAUUAGAUACCCGGGUAGUC